Molecule: long non-coding RNA, 3389 nt
Organism: Pezoporus flaviventris
Lineage: Eukaryota; Metazoa; Chordata; Aves; Psittaciformes; Psittacidae
Exons: 3
Source: RefSeq, a predicted model, not a curated record
UUUGUUUUUUUUUUUUUUAAUGAAAACUGGGUUUCUCCCUGAAAGAGGAUUAAUUUUUAUGAAAAGAAUGAAUAUGGUUUUAACCAAUGAGAAAGCAAGACUGCUAGGAAAGGUUUUGACCAACCUGGGACCAGCCUUCUCAUUAUAGAAAUAUGGGAUGGAAAUUGGAUAUAAGAGAUUAGAGCUUUCUCUACAAGCCAAGGAAACAGUAGGGAAAACAAUAUUCAUUUAUGUCAGGAAGGUUUUAGGGACACCACAGGCUCUGCAUGCGUUACUUAGCAGCCUGGUAACACACCAAAUCCUGUGGUGGUUCCUAACAUCUGCCACACCAGGGUUAGACCUCUUUCUUUCAAUAGCAGAUGAAAAGUCUUCAGUGUUGUACAAAGCGCAGCAUCAGCCAGAGUGCUUGUUUCCACACAAGUUUAUGAUGAAACUGUGUGUCCAGCCCACAGGAAAACCCAGUCAAUUUUAGUAUUGGUCUGAAAGAGACCUGAAAGAUGAAGACCUCAGCUUUAACAAGCUUUGGUGGUUGCUGCCCACUCUUCUUGAUGGAGCUAUUCCAUCUUGAGGGAGAACUGCAUUUUAAGUACCUGUUCCCACGUCUGUUGAUUAUAUUAAAUACCUAAUAUAUGGAACUGGAGACUUAUUUUCUGGUCAUGGGACUGCACGAGGUCAAUUCCAUUUAUAAACUGCUAAGCCCUUGGUUUGGUAUGCCAGGAACAAAAAUAUCUAAAGGAGAAACUAUAUUUGUAAGUCCUGAAAGAUAAGGCCCCAUCUUUGAAAUCCAGUCAGAAGAACUUUUUAAUAACUACAAAACACCCCUCACAAAAGCAUAUUUAUUUUCCCCUAGUUCACUGCUAUCAGAUUGUCACUAUUGUGUGUUAUUGUCACAUUUCCCCCCCACCAUUGGUUGUGUCAAUACUUUUAUUGUUCAUAAGUUUUUUGUCUUUGAAUGAAUAAUAAGAGCACAUUCUGAUGUUCUUGAUUGUUCUUUUGACCCAAGUAUAUUUACUUUGUGAAACUCCCAAGCUUUUCUCUCUAAGAAUGUUUUUUAUUGAUUUAUCCUUUAAAACUAUGAAGAUUUUUAUGACAGUGAGGCUUGAAGCUCCUAUCAUUAAUUUUAAAAGUUUAAUUGAAAUUAAUCUUAAUUAAAGUUAUAUUUUAUAAUUAAAAUUAAUUUUAUAACAAUAUACAUGCUUAACUCCAAGUAUGGGGCUCAGCACAGCUACGGGUUGCUCAAUGGACUAAUAGCAAUGCAGCUACAAACUUUGUUAGCUUCCACAUAGUUAUCAUACCAAUCAACACCAGAAUAAUUAAAUUCAUCCAUUAUCAAAUUCUAGUCUUCUUUAUCAGCUUUUCUCCCACCAGUAAUUUUGUUGUCUUAAUCUGGUUUCUUCCCUGAAAUCUAUGGCAAUCUUGGAAUUUCACCAGAUAAUCUUCCCUUUCUUUUUCAUUAAGUUCCCUAACCCAAAUUAUUUAAUGCCAAAAUCUGAAGUCUUUAAAGAAGAUUCCACCAAAGGGAAGUUUGAUCAAACCAUAUUUUGCUUUACUAGAGACUACUAAUUUUAUCUUGUUGUGCCCUUGAAUGAAAGCCUAUACAUCCUUGUUCCUGAAUAAAACAUGCAUGAUAAAUGAAUUUAGAGAGCAUUGAAGGGCUACUGACGUUGCAUAGGAUUUUUGUAGCAUCCUAAACAGAAGGAUAUUGAAGGGAGCUGAUUCUGCUUUGAUCCUUGUGCUUGUUGUCAAAGCGCUUGGGAUUGAAGAGACUGUUGGCUACAAUUGACUGUGACAAUUAGGAGAUGAUCAGAGCCCUAGAGUGGAGCACUUAAAGGGUAAUUUACAUGUCAGUUUGUCGAAUAAAAAAAAGAUAUUCAGCUAAGAUUCCCCCCCCCCCCCCCCCCCCCCCCCCGAGCCUUUUAAACUGCAAUUUGUGCUAUAGUAAGAAAAACCUGGCAGAGGAGUUAGGAUAACCAUUUCCAUUUGAAAAGAGGCAAUCAUAAGGCCACUGCUGAGCCUAUUGUCCACUAAAAAUGCUGAUUUGCAGUCAGGGAGUGAAAGAGUGGAGACAUCACUAAAUAGAACCUUGUGCAAGGUAACUCCCCCUUGGUGGCUUUCUAAUGUUGGCUGAAGGUUUUAUACACCUUAAAUCCUGCAUUUGCUAUCAUUAUAACAUUGUUACUGAUCAUGAAUGUCCUUUAUAACAACAAAAAAAUGAAGAUAUUGAGGGGGAGGUGGGUGGAACAGAAGCCACCAGCCAGUUGAUAGGCUCACGCCAGCUAUCUAUUGUACCACAUCUUUCUUAUUCUUGUGCCUUUUGUAUGCCAACAUAAUUUUCUUGUCACACUUUGCACUUUGCCAUUUAGGCACCUUCCGUAACAGUUUUCUCAUAGGUUUUCCAUACCUAUUUACACUUCUUUUUAGACACACAUCGAGUAGACUUUAUUUUUUUAUAAUUAUUUUUUCCACGUUUAACCUCCUGAGAAAGGAAAAGAGAGAAGGAGGUGACAGUAGCCAUUCAGUUCAGAGUCUGUCUUUCUGUAGCUGUGGUGUGAUUAGGCUGUAAUAAAGAGUUUAUACACACAGGCCUGAGAGAGGGCUGAAGUUAAGACAGCUGAGUAUUAAAUAACCUUGCUUAUGAUAAGUCCUUUUUUAUAUGAUAGCUCUGAUAAACCUAGAGUUGCUUUGACAGUAGGGUUAUAUGAACUUAUAAAAAUAUCAAGAAACAACACCUCCCUCAUUAUUCUGCUUGGUGUGAGCUGUAGCAUAUGUGAUAUUCCUAACAGUUUAAAGAAGGGAUAUUAGUGGAUGCAUAUGUGGUUCCAGUGUUUGUAUAUGCAAAUAAGUGUAUUUAUUUUGAGGUUGCAUCAUAGGCUUUUCUUACAGAGAUGGCACUGACUCCUGUUUCAUCUCCCCAAGAGAAGAAAUGGUCAUGUAUUCCAGUUUAGGAACCAGAAUUAAAGGCUUUGCUUUGUCACAAUUAUGACCAAGUAGCAUUUGCUGCCCAGACAUGUACUGCCUAAAAACCCAGGGGCCACUUUUCUGGGGAAGUUUUGUGGCUUUCAGUAAGAGCCAGGCAUAUACACAACGUCUCUGAUUCUCAUCCCAGUGGCAGACCCUGGUCAAACACCACUGAUUUGAGCAGAUUUGGGAUUUCUAUUGGUGCCAGUAGGAUAAGGAUUAAGCCUUGUGUGUCCAUAGGGUCACCAAAAUGUCCUUUUCCUUAGUUAUAUGCCUUAUGUUCUUAGGAUUCUUGUAUGUUGAACACCAGACAAUAAAGUUUCUGUUUUUGAACUUGCACUACAAACAAGUUUUAACCCUGCUUUUGAUUUAUUUUUUUUUUAAUACUUCAAAAUACUUCUAAAACAUGCAGCAUUCUUCUUCAUUGUAAG